This is a long non-coding RNA of Quercus robur (English oak), 1421 nucleotides long. RefSeq lists it as uncharacterized. The transcript is spliced from 2 exons. NCBI's taxonomy places the organism in Eukaryota, Viridiplantae, Streptophyta, Magnoliopsida, Fagales, Fagaceae. The record is from RefSeq and is a predicted model, not a curated record.
CUCUCUCUUUCUUUUUGGUGUGGUUCUUGGUUUGUGAAAUUACUUGGAACUUAACUGAGCCAAUUAAUUCUUCAGGUGGUUAAAGAUUCUUGUUUUAAACGUGCUGAUUAGUUAAUUAAACAUUUUGAAGACUUAUCAAUCUGAAUUUCAUUUACAGAAAAUCUUCAGAGAUCACCAAACGGUGUGAUCGUUUCAUAAAAGUUGGUAUAGUCUGUAAUUUUCUCAGGAGCCAGAUCAAAAUUUUGAUUUUUUUUUUAUCUUGGUAACCAAACAUGGUAAUAGGAUUUGGAUAUAAGCUUCCUGAAUCUCAAAGAAUCUGGUUUAUGGUUAUUUUUUGGUCAUUAUUAUUAAUUAGGUAUUUACAAUUCUUUAAAAUGGUUGUUCUAAUUGUGUUGGACAUUUUAAUUUGUUCUCCUUAGGUUUUGAGUUUGACCAAUUUAAAAUAGUUCAAUUUGUUACUGUUAGCUUGUGUGCCAUUAUGGGUUUUACAACUUGCCCUAAAAUUGUUAGUUUCCAACUUUAGUUACCUUAAGUGUCGCUUUGGCCAUGGCAUGUGCAUGAUCAUAUCUCCUAAGUGAAUAGUUGGAGAAGCAUCAGAUGUUGCAGGUUGUCUCAAUUUAUGUGUAUGGGGAAGGUGUGCUUGAGAGCAUGUGUAUGCACAUCAACUAAGAAUAAGACUUUUUUGACUUGUUAGAUUGCUCAUCCUUUUUGUUGUAUUGCUCUUCUGUGGCACUAUAUUAGAUUAUAGAAACAAGAUUUAUUUGGUAAGAAUUUAAAUAGAAAAUGUGUGUUUGGUUUAUUUUGAUUUUUGAUUUUUUUUUUCAUUCAUUGGUAAAGAUUUGUUUUUUUGAUAGGUAAUUCAUUGGUAAAGAUUUGUGUCGCAGAGAUACCUUCAGAAUCCUUUUUGAGUACUCUUUUAUUAUAUAUUUUAUAAAGAUUAAAUGUUUUUUAUUGCAUUAAAACUUGUUCUUCAACGUUGCAGGAUUACAUAAAAGAAAGCAAUAAUUUAGUGUCGCUUCAUGAUCAAAUUCGUGAAUGUGAUAGAAUCUUGUCACAUAUGGAAACUCUCCUCAGUGGAUUUCAAGUUGAAAUUGGUUCCAUAAGUUCAGACAUAAAAAGUCCUCCAAGAGAAGUCUAUGGAUAUGGGCCUGAAGCUUAAUUGAUAGUGUUUUUAAUUCAACUGUUAUAUGUAAAUAAGGAGAAUAUGGGCCAUUUGAGUAAUGCCAAAGUGACAUCUCUAAAUUAUUGUUCUAUAAACCUUUCCGUUUUUCUUAUGAUUGUUCUAUGUUCUAUAAACAUUGGCAAAGUUUGUCGAAGACAUUAUAGUCCCUCCGAGGAUGGUUGACAUAGUCGUUGACGGAGAGGUAUUUCUAAUUUUUGUAGAGCCUGCGUUUUUACUGUUACUGUCAUAAUUGCUAUUA